ACUAGCAGGAUCUCUGGCGUUGGGAAGAGUCCCUGUUACCCCUUUUUUCCCUUUUUACCGAAUAAAACCCUGCCUUACUCACCCUUCAGGUCAUCUACAAUCCUAACUUUUCAUGGCUCUGAGACAAAGACUCCGUCUUUUGGUGAACUAAGGAAAUGUCCUGCAACAUUUUUGGCACACAGCAUAGGACUUGAGAAGUGAAACCACUGACUGAGCACUCUGAAGGAGAGUUAAAGGUUUUAAGAGAAUGAAGAAAAUUUCAAACGUUCACUAAGGAGAACGGGCAAAAGAGUUGACUAAGAAAAUAGAAAAGGAUACCAAGAAAUCAUUGAAGAAGAGAUUAAAGUUAGAGGACAUUAUUUUGUAUUUGUAUAAAUGUGCAUGUUUCCUCAAUUUUUCUCCAGCACAUACAUUACUCUGGGCAUGAGCACAGAAAGCAAGACAAUUGCCAGGAGAAUGUAAUGAAAAAUGAGUUGAAACACUGAAAAAGAUAAAGUACAUCAGUGGAAUAUGAACAGAUUAGGAAAUAAAAUAAAGAAGAUGAGUGGGCUGUGGAAAUAAAAGGAAUCACAAAACUGGAGGCUUAAUGAAGUUAAAGAACAUGUGGACUAGGAAAACCAAGAUGGUUGAAAAGACAGCAGAUUGUGAACACACAAAAAAUUCUGAGCUUAAAUUGUCAGCAGCAGUAAAGCAAUAUCAAGUAAUGAGAAUUCCAGCUGUGAGGCUGUAUGAGUGAUUUGCUGGAGAGGCACAGAAUUAUAGGUCAAUGGAGAUAAAGUCAUCCAUAAACUACAAACAAGGGAGUUGAAGGAGCCAUCCAGGGACAUUUAGAAAUGUGGUUUAGUCAAAUGGCAUGAAACUUUCAGAAAUAAAGGUAUGAAUACAUUAUGUUAAAUGUCAUAAAAACACCACUGUUAUGGUAUGAAACAACUUCACAAUUUCUAAAGGCUUAUUUUUCAUGCUUUAUACUUGAUGACUUGAUAUUAGCUUGUGGUUAAUAAUUUGUAACAAAUAUAACAUGAAUAAAGAUGCAACAUAAGCUAGGUAAGUUCUAUAAACUGAAUAGAACAUGGAAAAUUAGUACACACAGUGCUAUGGGGUGAUGACAAACUGAAAGCAAGUGUAUUGUUUUUGUUUUGUUUUGUAUUGUUUUGUUUUGUUUUGUGACGGAGUCUCUCUCUGUUGCCCAGGCUGGAGUG
Molecule: long non-coding RNA, 1199 nt
Filed under: Homo sapiens (human)
Lineage: Eukaryota; Metazoa; Chordata; Mammalia; Primates; Hominidae
Description: non-protein coding lnc-GULP1-5:3
Source: RNAcentral